RNAcentral lists this ribosomal RNA (380 nucleotides) under uncultured eukaryote. RNAcentral describes it as "SSU rRNA". It matches the Rfam family "Eukaryotic small subunit ribosomal RNA", at positions 587 to 972 of the family's 1831-position model. The record is from RNAcentral.
AGCUCCAAUAGCGUAUAUUAAAGUUGUUGCGGUAAAAAAGCUCGUAGUUGGAUUUCUGUUGAAGACGACCGGUCCAUACCACGUAUGCGCAUCUGGUUCGGCUUCGGCAUCCUCUCGAAAGACGUUUCUGCGCUUGAUUGCGUGGAGCGGAUCUCGGGACUUUUACUUUGAGGAAAUUAGAGUGUUCACGGCAGGCUAUCGCCAGAAUACAUUAGCAUGGAAUAAUACUAUAGGAUCUCGGUUCUAUUUUGUUGGUUUCUAGAAUUGAGAUAAUGAUUAAUAGGGACAAUUGGGGGCAUUCGUAUCAACACGUUAGAGGUGAAAUUCUUGGAUCGUGUUGCGACGAACUACUGCGAAAGCAUUUGCCAAGGAUGUUUUCA